GACGAACGCUGGCGGCGUGCCUAAUACAUGCAAGUCGAACGCUUUUUCUUUCACCGGAGCUUGCUCCACCGAAAGAAAAAGAGUGGCGAACGGGUGAGUAACACGUGGGUAACCUGCCCAUCAGAAGGGGAUAACACUUGGAAACAGGUGCUAAUACCGUAUAACACUAUUUUCCGCAUGGAAGAAAGUUGAAAGGCGCUUUUGCGUCACUGAUGGAUGGACCCGCGGUGCAUUAGCUAGUUGGUGAGGUAACGGCUCACCAAGGCAACGAUGCAUAGCCGACCUGAGAGGGUGAUCGGCCACACUGGGACUGAGACACGGCCCAGACUCCUACGGGAGGCAGCAGUAGGGAAUCUUCGGCAAUGGACGAAAGUCUGACCGAGCAACGCCGCGUGAGUGAAGAAGGUUUUCGGAUCGUAAAACUCUGUUGUUAGAGAAGAACAAGGAUGAGAGUAAAAUGUUCAUCCCUUGACGGUAUCUAACCAGAAAGCCACGGCUAACUACGUGCCAGCAGCCGCGGUAAUACGUAGGUGGCAAGCGUUGUCCGGAUUUAUUGGGCGUAAAGCGAGCGCAGGCGGUUUCUUAAGUCUGAUGUGAAAGCCCCCGGCUCAACCGGGGAGGGUCAUUGGAAACUGGGAGACUUGAGUGCAGAAGAGGAGAGUGGAAUUCCAUGUGUAGCGGUGAAAUGCGUAGAUAUAUGGAGGAACACCAGUGGCGAAGGCGG
This 724-nucleotide ribosomal RNA is filed under the name uncultured Bacilli bacterium. RNAcentral's name for it is "bacterial SSU rRNA". It matches the Rfam family "Bacterial small subunit ribosomal RNA", at positions 28 to 724 of the family's 1533-position model. The record is from RNAcentral. Lineage: Bacteria; Bacillati; Bacillota; Bacilli.